Molecule: ribosomal RNA, 468 nt
Filed under: uncultured bacterium
Lineage: Bacteria
Description: partial 16S ribosomal RNA
Rfam family: Bacterial small subunit ribosomal RNA
Source: RNAcentral
GACGAACGCUGGCGGCGUGCUUAAUACAUGCAAGUCGAACGGAAAGGCCCUGCUUUUGUGGGGUGCUCGAGUGGCGAACGGGUGAGUAACACGUGAGUAACCUGCCCUUGACUUUGGGAUAACUUCAGGAAACUGGGGCUAAUACCGGAUAGGAGCUCCUGCUGCAUGGUGGGGGUUGGAAAGUUUCGGCGGUUGGGGAUGGACUCGCGGCUUAUCAGCUUGUUGGUGGGGUAGUGGCUUACCAAGGCUUUGACGGGUAGCCGGCCUGAGAGGGUGACCGGCCACAUUGGGACUGAGAUACGGCCCAGACUCCUGCGGGAGGCAGCAGUGGGGAAUAUUGCACAAUGGGCGGAAGCCUGAUGCAGCAACGCCGCGUGCGGGAUGACGGCCUUCGGGUUGUAAACCGCUUUCGCCUGUGACGAAGCGUGAGUGACGGUAAUGGGUAAAGAAGCACCGGCUAACUACGUG